RNAcentral lists this ribosomal RNA (253 nucleotides) under uncultured bacterium. Its description in RNAcentral is "partial 16S ribosomal RNA". It matches the Rfam family "Bacterial small subunit ribosomal RNA", at positions 524 to 776 of the family's 1533-position model. The record is from RNAcentral.
UACGUAGGGUGCAAGCGUUGUCCGGAAUUAUUGGGCGUAAAGAGCUCGUAGGCGGCCUGUUGCGUCGGCUGUGAAAACCCGGGGCUCAACCCCGGGCCUGCAGUCGAUACGGGCAGGCUAGAGUCCGGCAGGGGAGACUGGAAUUCCUGGUGUAGCGGUGAAAUGCGCAGAUAUCAGGAGGAACACCGAUGGCGAAGGCAGGUCUCUGGGCAUUAACUGACGCUGAGGAGCGAAAGCAUGGGGAGCGAACAGG